GCACAAUGGGCGCAAGCCUGAUGCAGCCAUGCCGCGUGUAUGAAGAAGGCCUUCGGGUUGUAAAGUACUUUCAGCAGUGAGGAAGGUGGGUAUGUUAAUAGCAUAUUCAUUUGACGUUAGCUGCAGAAGAAGCACCGGCUAACUCCGUGCCAGCAGCCGCGGUAAUACGGAGGGUGCGAGCGUUAAUCGGAAUUACUGGGCGUAAAGCGCAUGCAGGUGGUUUGUUAAGUCAGAUGUGAAAGCCCGGGGCUCAACCUCGGAAUUUGCAUUUGAAAACUGGCAAACUAGAGUACUGUAGAGGGGGGUAGAAUUUCAGGUGUAGCGGUGAAAUGCGUAGAGAUCUGAAGGAAUACCGGUGGCGAAGGCGGCCCCCCUGGACAGAUACUGACACUCAGAUGCGAAAGCGUGGGGAGCAAACAGGAUUAGAUACCCUGGUAG
This 438-nucleotide ribosomal RNA is filed under the name uncultured bacterium. RNAcentral's name for it is "bacterial SSU rRNA". It matches the Rfam family "Bacterial small subunit ribosomal RNA", at positions 366 to 793 of the family's 1533-position model. The record is from RNAcentral.